This 253-nucleotide ribosomal RNA is filed under the name uncultured bacterium. Its description in RNAcentral is "partial 16S ribosomal RNA". It matches the Rfam family "Bacterial small subunit ribosomal RNA", at positions 524 to 776 of the family's 1533-position model. The record is from RNAcentral.
GACGAAGGAUGCAAGCGUUAUCCGGAUUCAUUGGGUUUAAAGGGCGCGUAGGCGGUUUGGUAAGUCAGUGGUGAAAUCUGUGGGCUUAACCCACAAACUGCCUUUGAUACUGCUGAUCUAGAGUACAGUUGCCGUUGGCGGAAUAUGACAUGUAGUGGUGAAAUACUUAGAUAUGUCAUAGAACACCGAUAGCGAAGGCAGCUAACGAAGCUGUAACUGACGCUGAGGCUCGAAAGUGCGGGGAGCAAACGGG